GCGGUGGAUGAUGUGGUUUAAUUCGAUGCAACGCGAAAACCUUACCCACCUUUGACAUGUACGGAACCCUUUAGAGAUAGAGGGGUGCUCGAAAGAGAGCCGUAACACAGGUGCUGCAUGGCUGUCGUCAGCUCGUGUCGUGAGAUGUUGGGUUAAGUCCCGCAACGAGCGCAACCCUUGUCAUUAGUUGCUACAUUCAGUUGGGCACUCUAAUGAGACUGCCGGUGACAAGCCGGAGGAAGGUGGGGAUGACGUCAAGUCCUCAUGGCCCUUAUAGGUGGGGCUACACACGUCAUACAAUGGCUGGUACAAAGGGUUGCCAACCCGCGAGGGGGAGCCAAUCCCAUAAAGCCAGUCGUAGUCCGGAUCGUAGUCUGCAACUCGACUACGUGAAGUCGGAAUCGCUAGUAAUCGUGGAUCAGAAUGUCACGGUGAAUACGUUCCCGGGUCUU
RNAcentral lists this ribosomal RNA (452 nucleotides) under uncultured Rhodoferax sp. Its description in RNAcentral is "bacterial SSU rRNA". It matches the Rfam family "Bacterial small subunit ribosomal RNA", at positions 929 to 1382 of the family's 1533-position model. The record is from RNAcentral. Lineage: Bacteria; Pseudomonadati; Pseudomonadota; Betaproteobacteria; Burkholderiales; Comamonadaceae.